RNAcentral lists this ribosomal RNA (226 nucleotides) under uncultured bacterium. Its description in RNAcentral is "partial 16S ribosomal RNA". It matches the Rfam family "Bacterial small subunit ribosomal RNA", at positions 28 to 247 of the family's 1533-position model. The record is from RNAcentral.
GACGAACGCUGGCGGCGUGCCUAACACAUGCAAGUGGAGCGACGAACCGGGCUUCGGCCCGGGGCAAAGCCGCGAACGGGUGAGUAACACGUGGGUAACCUGCCCCGAUGAUUGGGACAACCCGAGGAAACUCGGGCUAAUACCGAAUGUGCCCUAUGGCCUCGAAGGCCACUGGGGAAAGGAGCUUCGGCCUCCGCAUCGGGAUGGGCCCGCGGCCCAUUAGCUU